AGCCUCAUCGUCUAGCGGUUUAGGACGCUGCCCCCUCAAGGCAGAUACGAGGUUCAAAUCUCCCUGGGGCUA
RNAcentral lists this transfer RNA (72 nucleotides) under Trichocoleus sp. FACHB-69. Its description in RNAcentral is "tRNA-Glu". It matches the Rfam family "tRNA". From Rfam's summary of the family: Transfer RNA (tRNA) molecules are approximately 80 nucleotides in length. Their secondary structure includes four short double-helical elements and three loops (D, anti-codon, and T loops). Further hydrogen bonds mediate the characteristic L-shaped molecular structure. tRNAs have two regions of fundamental functional importance: the anti-codon, which is responsible for specific mRNA codon recognition, and the 3' end, to which the tRNAs corresponding amino acid is attached (by aminoacyl-tRNA synthetases). tRNAs cope with the degeneracy of the genetic code in two manners: having more than one tRNA (with a specific anti-codon) for a particular amino acid; and 'wobble' base-pairing, i.e. permitting non-standard base-pairing at the 3rd anti-codon position. Lineage: Bacteria; Bacillati; Cyanobacteriota; Cyanophyceae; Leptolyngbyales; Trichocoleusaceae. The record is from RNAcentral. RNAcentral also lists the same sequence under 1 other name.